ACUCCUACGGGAGGCAGCAGUGGGGAAUUUUGGACAAUGGGCGCAAGCCUGAUCCAGCAAUGCCGCGUGAGUGAAGAAGGCCUUCGGGUUGUAAAGCUCUUUCAGCCGGAACGAAACGGUUGCGGAUAAUACCCGUGACUAAUGACGGUACCGGAAGAAGAAGCACCGGCUAACUACGUGCCAGCAGCCGCGGUAU
RNAcentral lists this ribosomal RNA (196 nucleotides) under uncultured Nitrosospira sp. RNAcentral describes it as "partial 16S ribosomal RNA". It matches the Rfam family "Bacterial small subunit ribosomal RNA", at positions 335 to 523 of the family's 1533-position model. Lineage: Bacteria; Pseudomonadati; Pseudomonadota; Betaproteobacteria; Nitrosomonadales; Nitrosomonadaceae. The record is from RNAcentral.